CAGUCGCCACGGUAAUACGAAGGGUGCAAGCGUCACUCGGAAUUACUGGGCGUAAAGCGUGCGUAGGUGGUGGUUUAAGUCCGUUGUGAAAGCCCUGGGCUCAACCUGGGAAUUGCAGUGGAUACUGGGUCACUAGAGUGUGGUAGAGGAUAGUGGAAUUUCCGGUGUAGCAGUGAAAUGCGUAGAGAUCGGAAGGAACAUCUGUGGCGAAGGCGACUAUCUGGGCCAACACUGACACUGAGGCACGAAAGCGUGGGGAGCAAACAGGAUUAGAUACCCGAGUAGUCCCUGUCUCUUAUAC
RNAcentral lists this ribosomal RNA (301 nucleotides) under uncultured bacterium. RNAcentral's name for it is "partial 16S ribosomal RNA". It matches the Rfam family "Bacterial small subunit ribosomal RNA", at positions 509 to 807 of the family's 1533-position model. The record is from RNAcentral.